GAUGAACGCUGGCGGCGUGCCUAAUACAUGCAAGUCGGACGCAAUGCUUCGGCAUUGAGUGGCGAACGGGUGAGUAAUACAUAAGCAACCUGCCCCUGUGAGGGGGAUAACUGCUGGAAACGGCAGCUAAGACCGCAUAGGUAUGGACACUGCAUGGUGACCAUAUUAAAAGUGCCAAGGCACUGGUAGAGGAUGGACUUAUGGCGCAUUAGCUGGUUGGUGAGGUAACGGCUCACCAAGGCGACGAUGCGUAGCCGACCUGAGAGGGUGACCGGCCACACUGGGACUGAGACACGGCCCAG
RNAcentral lists this ribosomal RNA (302 nucleotides) under uncultured bacterium. Its description in RNAcentral is "bacterial SSU rRNA". It matches the Rfam family "Bacterial small subunit ribosomal RNA", at positions 28 to 334 of the family's 1533-position model. The record is from RNAcentral.